UACGUAGGUGGUAAGCGUUGUCCGGAUUUACUGGGUGUAAAGGGCGCGUAGGCGGGAUGGCAAGUCAGAUGUGAAAUCUCCGGGCUCAACAUGGAAACUGCAUUUGAAACUGUCGUUCUUGAGUAUCGGAGAGGCAAGCGGAAUUCCUAGUGUAGCGGUGAAAUGCGUGGAUAUUAAGAGGAACACCAGUGGCGAAGGCGGCUUGCUGGACGACAACUGACGCUGAGGCGCGAAAGCGUGGGGAGCAAAC
Molecule: ribosomal RNA, 250 nt
Filed under: uncultured prokaryote
Description: partial 16S ribosomal RNA
Rfam family: Bacterial small subunit ribosomal RNA
Source: RNAcentral